RNAcentral lists this ribosomal RNA (207 nucleotides) under uncultured bacterium. Its description in RNAcentral is "partial 16S ribosomal RNA". It matches the Rfam family "Bacterial small subunit ribosomal RNA", at positions 568 to 774 of the family's 1533-position model. The record is from RNAcentral.
AGCGUAGGCGGGUUGUUAAGUCAGUUGUGAAAGUUUGCGGCUCAACCGUAAAAUUGCAGUUGAUACUGGCGACCUUGAGUGUAACAGAGGUAGGCGGAAUUCGUGGUGUAGCGGUGAAACGCUUAGAUAUCACGAAGAACUCCGAUUGCGAAGGCAGCUUACUGGAUUGUAACUGACGCUGAUGCUCGAAAGUGUGGGUAUCAAACA